Molecule: ribosomal RNA, 253 nt
Filed under: uncultured bacterium
Lineage: Bacteria
Description: partial 16S ribosomal RNA
Rfam family: Bacterial small subunit ribosomal RNA
Source: RNAcentral
UACAGAGGGUGCGAGCGCUAAUCGGAAUUACUGGGCGUAAAGCGCACGUAGGCGGCUUGGUAUGUCGGGUGUGAAAUCCCCGGGCUCAACCUGGGAACUGCAUCCGAAACUGCCUUGCUCGAGUAUGGGAGAGGGAAGUGGAAUUUCCGGUGUAGCGGUGAAAUGCGUAGAUAUCGGAAGGAACAUCAGUGGCGAAGGCGACUUCCUGGACCAAUACUGACGCUCAGGUGCGAAAGCGUGGGGAGCAAACAGG